GACGAACGCUGGCGGCGUGCUUAACACAUGCCAGUCGAACGGAAAGGCCUGCUUUCCCUUGUGGAUUGCGGGUGCUCGAGUGGCGAACGGGUGAGUAACACGUGAGUGAUCUGCCCCCAACUUGGGUAUAAGCCUGGGAAACUGGGUCUAAUUCCCGAUAGGACUGCAGGGUGGUGCCUGUGGUGGAAAACGAUUUUCUAGUGGUUGGGGAUGAGCUCGCGGCCUAUCAGCUUGUUGGUGGGGUAAUGGCCUACCAAGGCGGCGACGGGUAGCCGGCCUGAGAGGGUGGACGGCCACAUUGGGACUGAGAUACGGCCCAGACUCCUACGGGAGGCAGCAGUGGGGAAUAUUGCACAAUGGGCGGAAGCCUGAUGCAGCGACGCCGCGUGGGGGAUGACGGCCUUCGGGUUGUAAACUCCUUUCGACCGCGAGGAAGCCACCUGGUUGGGAGGGUGGUGACGGUAGUGGUAGAAGAAGCACCGGCUAACUACGUG
Molecule: ribosomal RNA, 494 nt
Filed under: uncultured bacterium
Lineage: Bacteria
Description: partial 16S ribosomal RNA
Rfam family: Bacterial small subunit ribosomal RNA
Source: RNAcentral